AUUUCACUAUGUUGACACGUUCGAACUAUCUCCUUAAACCUCUUCCAUGCUUCAACAACAAUUUCAUUCUCUUUCUGGCCGAAGUUAUAGAUUUCUCUUCUAAACUU
This 107-nucleotide small nucleolar RNA is filed under the name Nicotiana tabacum (common tobacco). Its description in RNAcentral is "Plant small nucleolar RNA R71". It matches the Rfam family "Plant small nucleolar RNA R71". Rfam says of the family: R71 is a member of the C/D box family of snoRNAs containing the C (UGAUGA) and D (CUGA) box motifs. Lineage: Eukaryota; Viridiplantae; Streptophyta; Magnoliopsida; Solanales; Solanaceae. The record is from Rfam by way of RNAcentral.